Molecule: long non-coding RNA, 13202 nt
Filed under: Pelobates cultripes (western spadefoot toad)
Lineage: Eukaryota; Metazoa; Chordata; Amphibia; Anura; Pelobatidae
Source: RNAcentral
AGCAAGGGAGACCAAACAAUUCCUUGGUGUAGUGGUGAUGCUGCCAAUAGUCUGUCCACCAUUUUUUCUUCAAACCAUUUUUCCUGGCAUCCAAAGGCAACUCUCUCUCCAGUAAUCAGGAACACCUCAGUCUGCAGCUCACACCCGACAGAGCUGCAGACAGGAUGCUGUGUAGGCGCUCUCCUCCCAGGUAAGGACUGACUGGAGGGGCCUGGCAUAAUGGGCAAGCCAUCAGGCCCCCUGUCAUAGACUGAAGACCCGACAUGUCAGUCUGCCCUAAGGCGACUUAGGCAGCCGCAAGGCCCCUGACAGCGCGAGGCCUUAGGCGGCUGCCUAAAUCGCCUAAUUAGAGAACCGCCUCACCAAUAGAGAUAUUGUGAAAAUAUAUGUUUUGCUUUAUCAAGCAGGAUGGAGGUGGGGUGAGCUAUAGGUGCUGGAGAGAGCCCAAACUGUUAUCAUAUAGCUCAAAAACAUUUCAACAAAGAAACAAAAAAAAACACACUACACUUAGCUGCAGAAGUUGUGUUGCUUAUAGUGUGAAAUUUAGUGGGGGGGGUUUAAUGUCGGAAUAAAGCAACCAUAAAGCAGCAACAUUGAGAGUGCACGGAAGAUAAAGAUGGAGGUGCUUAAAUGCCCACCUUAUAAAUAAUCAGUAUUUUACUCAUAAUUUAUAAGUAUAUGAAUAGUUAUUAGUCAUUAAAACAUUAUAUAAUUCAGUUUCAAUAGUAAACAGGUGCCCUGCUAUAGCAAGAGCUCUGGUCCCCAAAUUCAACCUGCAUUACAGCGUGUGAAUAGUAAUGUCUAAAGACAGCAUAGCAGUGGAGUACAUAAAUCAGUAGUGCUAUUGCAUUGUCUUUUAUUUAAAUAUACUUUUAAUGUAGCGAAUGCAUUUUUUUGUGUUUCUCUCAUAUACAACGUGUAGGUACUAACUUUUUGUGAGAUGGCAUCAUAAUUCCUCAUGUUGUGGUUCUGUAAUGUCCAAAGUGGUCACCACUAAUGGAAGAUGCUGCGUGAAAAUAUAUGCUGGGUUUCUCACUAAACUAGGAAUUGUUAAAUGUUAAAGAAGGAAUUGCUAAUUGCAAAAUAGCUGAAAUGGAAAAAAUCUCCAUCUUGCAUAGUUAUUUGUUAAUUUUCUUUUUAAAAUUCUCCACAGUUCUUGGUGAAAGUCAGUUACCGAGACUCAGCACUCCAUGUAAAGUAGACCAGCUCUUUUGCGAGUCAAAAAAAAGUGUUAAUCUCGAUCAUAUUGAUCUGAUUCCUCUCUAUAUAUUCUGAAAAAUCUAUAAACUGAUUUUAAAACAAGAAGUGUUAAACAAAUAUGUUAAUCUUUGGUGCUAAUAGAGAAUACAGCAAUAUCUGCUCUUGCGUUAUUUUUCUACUAAGUACAGAUUGUGAAACACACUGUUCCUUUAACAUUAGUUGUAGAAGACAGGGCUGUCCUUGACGUUGCUGUUCCUACAGCUUCAUACUAUAGGCGGCCUCUUCAGUUAUUUAUGCAGUGUGUUUGGCCCUGAACCUUCUGUAAUAAAACUUCUCAAAGAAAAAGGAAAAGUGGUACAAAGCAGUUAACCCUGACUGCAUUAAAAUGGACGCAUGUCUAUUUAAAUUAACUUUUAAAGUGUGUGAGUUUUUAGUUCCUCGAUAUGUGGUUUCUGAUUAUUUUUCUUGAUUUAUUUUCUAUUACUAAAUUCACUCUGUUAUAAAAUAAAAAAUACAUGUAUUUUCAUGCCAACUACUGGCACCUUCUACCUUCCAUAAAUAAACCAGUAAUGCUUAUUCCACAUAAUAACGGAAAAUGUAAGCAUUACUGUUAGUAUCAAAGGCCAAAGUGCCCACCCAACUACUGCCAUUGAUGGGUUCGUGGUUUCCAAUUUUCUGGACAUCAUCUCUACUCCACCUCACUUUUAACCAUUCCUGUUAACAUUCCCUGCCCACCUUCUUGGACUGAGAUGAACAUGGAAGAGAGCAUGUGUGCAUGGGAUGGGUCUGCUUAUGAAAGGAGCAGGCCCACCUCUAAAGAGGAUGCCUCCUCAAGCAACCAAUCUGCUGCAGUGCUUUGUGCAUUGUUCUAGCGUCCAGUUCACUCCUACAUUUUGAAGUCUGACAGCAGAUUUCAAAAUCCUGUACAGAUCUCUGGGACCUAUAUUUGCUGGGACAGUAAUCUAAAAUGUGGGCCUGUCCAGGCACCCAUGUUUUAUCUAUCACAAAAAAAUAAUUUCUUACUUGAGCGGCUGUCAUAGCAUACUUACCUUUCCUCAAUCAAUAAUUUUUUUCCCAUCUCUCAUUACAGUCUUUUCUUUUAUUCUCCCUUAAAUACAUAAGGCAAAAUAGAGGUUACAUUGCUUUAUGUGUUUUUCCUUCGAUUGAAAAACUUGACAAAGGGUGGAGCUUAAAGGACAACUCUAGGCACCCAGACCACUUCAGCUUAAUGAAGUGGUCUGGGUGCCAGGUCCAGCUAGGGUUAACCCAUUUUUUAAUAAACAUAGCAGUUUCAGAGAAACUGCUAUGUUUAUUAAUGGGUUAAGCCUUCCCCCUAAUCCUCUAGUGGCUGUCUCAUUGACAGCCGCUAGAGGCGCGUGCGUGAUUCUCACUGUGAUUUUCACAGUGAGAGCACGCCAGCGUCCAUAGGAAAGCAUUGUAAAUGCUUUCCUUUGCGACCGGCUGAAUGUGCGCGCAGCUCUUGCCGCGCGUGCACAUUCAGCCGACGGGGCGGAUCGGAGGAGGAGAGAAGGAGGAGAGCUCCCCGCCCAGCGCUGGAAAAAGGUAAGUUUAAACCCCUUUCCCCUUUCCAGAGCCGGGCGGGAGGGUAUCCAUGAGGGUGGGGGCACCCUCAGGGCACUAUAGUGCCAGGAAAACGAGUAUGUUUUCCUGGCACUAUAGUGGUCCUUUAAAUGGACACGCCAGGGCAGUCUUUAAUGAAAGGUCAAACGGGGCAGCUGCCUGCAACAGUUUCUUUUAAGAUUAAUCUGCAGCAAAACUACCGAGGGUUCAGCCAGUGUGCUGCAGUUGGGCUCACACACUAGAGGGCCCAUUGGGUGGCCAAUGCAUUUAGUGCCACCUAAUGGGUAUCGCUUAACAGGGGCUUUGUCGGGCACCACAGCCCUUUAAGAGCGCAGGAGAGUGGCUGCAAAUAUCAAAAUUAUGACAUGUAUGUAUAUGUGGAUGUGCAAGCGUGUGUAGCUGUGUGUCAGUGUGUGUAUCUGCAUUUCAAUGUGUGUGUAUCCGAGUGUGUGUGUAUCUAGGUGUGUAUAUGUGCCAGUGUGUAUCUGUGUGUGUGUAUUUGUGUCUCAAGCUGUGUGUAUGUAUCAAGUUAUGUGUAUGUGUCACUGUGUUUAUAUGCGUGUAUCUGUGUGUUAAUGUGUAUGUUUAUCUGCAUCAGUGUAUAUAUGCAUACAUCCAAGCAAUCAAACACAACAUGCAAACACACCCAUGCAAACACAAACAUUACAUGCAAGUACAUCCCUGAAUUCAAACUUCAAAGUGAUACAAACAUUACAUUUUUACUCAAACACCAAUGCUACUACUCCAAACACCAAUGCUACACUCAAAUGUACAUCCGCAUUUAGAAUAUAACACUGCAUCUAAACACACUCCUACAUGCAAAGAUUACAUACAAACACACCCCUGUGUUAAAACACUAAAAUUAUAUCCAAACAGCAACUCUCAAGGCUGGACUGGGGAUACAAAGCAGCCCUGGAAAAAAAAAUCUAUGCCAGCCACAUAAGUCAUUGCGCCAUAUAUUGUCGCAUGUAAUAUGUAAGGCAAUGUCUUGCCACCCCAGAUGAUUGAGUAAUAUAUAUAUAUAUAUAUAUAUAUAUAUAUAUAUAUAUAUAUACAGAAUGCUCCUGCACUCACGCUUAAAUCUCCCUUGGUGCCCGGGUGCAAGCAAAAAAUAGCUGUCUAUCCAUUCAUCCAAGUAGGUAGCUGCACUCACGGAUAAUAAAAGUCCAAAGUUUAUUGAAAAAUGGUUAAAAAAACAGCGAUCAACAUUUCAGUCCUCUAAGGACUUUCAUCAGGAUCAAAUAAAAACAUUUAACAAACAUGAUGAUGUUUAGAGGACUGAAACGUUGAUCGCUGGUUUUUUAACCAUUUUUCAAUAAACUUUGGACUUUUAUUAUCCGUGAGUGCAGCUACCUACUUGGAUGAAUAUAUAUAUAUAUAUAUAUAUAUAUAUAUAAUAUAUCUCAAAUAUAUAUUGCUUUUUCUUAUAUAAAAUAUCGGUCCUAGACAUAGACAAUCUCACUGACACAGACAAGCUCAUUGAUACACAGCCUCAUAAACAAACAAUCUCACUGAUAUACAUAAGCUCACUCACAAGCAGGCACACACACACACACAAACUCACUCACUAUCAGGCGCGCACACACACAGCUUAAUGUAGUGGUUCUGGUGUCUAUAGCCUGUCCCUGCAGGCUUUUCAAUGUAAACACUGACUUUUCAGAGAAAUGGCCGUGUUUACAUUGCUUCCUAGUGACAGUCACUCAGACGGUCACUGGAGGUGCUUCCUGUGUCAGUGUUGCACAGUGUGCAGCACCUACGUUCAGGGCCACCACGCUCUGCAGGCGCUGAACGUCACCCAUAGAGAUACAUUGAUUCAACGCAUCUCAACGCAUCUCUGUGAGGAGAUGCUGAUUGGUGUAGCGUUUUGCAGCCAAUCCCAUGGCAGAGCAUUGGAUUGGCUGAGAUCAUCAAGCUUGAUGAUCUCAGCCAUAGAGGCAGGGCCAGUCGAGGGGAGACCUGCACGGCGUGGAAAAAAACACACAGACACACACAUAAACCAUGACAGACACAGACACACACAUCCACCAUGACAGACACACAACCCCCAUGACACACACACACCAUGACACAGACAGACACACACACACACCUUGACAGGCACACACACCAUGACACAGAAAGACCAUGACACAGAAAGACCAUGACACAGACAUUCACACACCAUGGCACAGACAGACACACCAUGACACAGACAGACAAUGAAACAGACAUACAGACAUACACACACCAUGACACAGACACACACACCAUGACAGACAGACACACACAAUAUACACUCACACUGACAGAAUGACACAUAUUAACUGUGGGCGACCGGCAAGGGAGUUGUGCAGGGCAGAGAGCUGAGUGUGCUAAAUCUGUUAAAUUGUACACUCUAAGAUUCUCAGUGAAUAGUGUCUGGAAAUGUAGUUUGGAAUCUAUGCACUAAUGCAAAAUUACUCCCAACACCCUUAAACGGUAAGGAAUGUUCUAUGGAACCCCUUUUAUCUCACAUUGACUAUGUAAAAGACUUGUUAGAUUAUCAACAAAAAUUCUAAAGUGGCUUUUAAAAUUAGUUGUUGUUUUUUACUGUCUCUCUCAGAACACUUUUAACUGAAUAAAUGGUUAGCUGAAUUACCUCUACAUGUGUAGAGAGCAACCCUGUGGUGCCUAUCCAGAAGCAGGGGAAGCUCUGAUGGUGGCCGCUGGGGGAGCUGUGCUGUGUUUGCUCCCCUGCCCUCGCGCGCAGCUUAAUGAGAGCGGGACCGGAAUAUGACGUCAUGUUCCGGCCCGGUCUCAUUAAGUAGUGCGCGAGGGCGGGGGAGCAAAGACAGCACAGCUUCCCCAGCGGCCACCAUCAGAGCUCCCCCAGCGGCCGCCAGCACACCCAGGUGCCUGCCCGGCCCCAUAGGUGCCGACGGCCCACCGGGAAAUUUCCUGGUAUCCUGGUGGGCCAGUCCGGCCCUGCCAACUCUACAUACAAAAGCAGCCUGCAUUUAAAAGCCAGUACUACAAAAGCCAGGGAGGGGGAAGGAGAGGGGGGGACAAGCAAAUGCUUGCCCAGGAUCCAAUCAAAGAAAGCCCUGAGACACUCUGGAGCCCUAAAGCACUUUAAUAUGCUGAAAAGCUUAUUUUUACUUUGCAAAAAGUGCAGAUUUCAAUUGAAAUUGACUCUUUUAAAAACUGCUGGAUAUUUAUGAAUAGAAAAAUGGGAUACAGCUGUACAACCUAAAAAAUAAAAUAAAAAAUACAUAGUGUAAUAUAAGUAUGUAUGUCAAGUAGACACAUAAUCUAUUCCACUCACAAGAUGUAAUCUGUAAGAUCGCCUUAGAGGUGCCGCCCCCGAUGGCAGUGGGGGGCUAAAAGCAGCCUUCAAUCUUCCCGGUAGUGUACAAUAUCCAGGACCAGAAGGAACAGAAGCAGGAAUCAAAUAAAAGUACAAAUUCUUUUAUUGGCUAUUAUAAUAAAUAAAAUAAAAUAAAGUAAUAGGCCCAGUCCUACGCGUCUCGUUCUAAAAGAACUUCCUCAAGGACCUCUGGAUUGUAAAACAAACAAAUAGUAUGCAGUUAAAAUGCCGCCUGAUUCCUACCCUCCAAAAGUUCCCUAUUUAUAAGGACCUGUAGUCCUGGUGAUUAGUCGAUCAUUUUGUUGGUGCUUCUCCGGGAUCCGAAACAGCUGUUUUCAAUUUGAUCGUGCGGCGUCUCUGUGCCACUUGCGUUCCAUUUGUUACUUACGUGCGUUCCAAUGACGUAAUUUCCUCUUCAGAUUCCAUAUACUGCCGCACAUGCGCUUUGUUGAUAAUGUCCAUAGACCCCAUAUCGGAUCUUGGAAAAGUUCCCCGUAAGAAAACGACCUUACGUUUUUAAAAAAAGAACACUAUAACGAAAAUUAGAAACACAAUUUUCUACAGAUUGAAGUAUAUGAUCAACAUUAUUCUAAAUUAGAAAAUAUGUAUAUAUAUGUAUAUCAUUAACACUUAAAAAAAAUAGGAAAUGCAAUAUAAUAAAUAUAACACUAUAAAUUGCAAAUUAAUAAAGUGCAGUUAUAUUAUUCAGAAUGUAUCUGCCCAACAUUAAAGCCAUUAUAAUUAAAGAAUAUUCCAUAUAUCUUAUUCAUCAUCAAAAAUUCUUUCAAUUAGUUAAAAGAAAAGGGAAAAACUUGAAAAAUCUUGUAAAAUACAUACCAAGUCAAUCUCCACAUUUAACCCCCUAGGUUCCAGUAUUUGUAAUUUAUAUAUACAGUAUGUUUCCCGCUGUGAUUCUUUAAUUCUAUCUCUUCCCUCGAGUUUGGGAGAACCUGUUCGAUACCAAAACAUCUGAAUUGUUUAAAAUUAAACGCUGGGCAUAGUUACAUAGUUACAUAGCUGAAAAGAGACUUGCGUCCAUCAAGUUCAGCCUUCCUCACAUAUGUUUUUGCUGUUGAUCCAAAAUGAAGGCAAAAAACCUAGUCUGAAGCGCUUCCAAUUUUGCAACAAACUAGGAAAAAAUUCAAUCUUGACCCCAAAAUAGCAGGUAGAUGUCUCCUUGGAUCAAGCAGCUAUUACCCCACUAAUUAGAAAUGAUAUCCCUGUAUGUUAUGUUUUUGCAAGUAUUUAUCCAAUUGCAGUUUAAACAUCUGUAUGGACUCUGACAAAACCACCUCUUCAGGCAGAGAAUUCCAUAUCCUUAUUGCUCUUACUGUAAAAAAAGUUUAUUUUCCUUAGAUGAAAUCUCCUUUAUUCCAGCCUAAAUGUGUGACCUCGUGUCCAAUGUAUAGCCCUGUUUAUGAAUAGAUUUCCAGAUAAAGGUUUGUACUGGCCCCGAAUAUAUUUGUAUAAUGUUAUCAUAUCCCCUCUCAGGCGCCGUUUUUCCAAACUAAACAGAUUUAAUUUUUUAACCUUUCUUCGUAACUAAAAUGCUCCACUCCUUUUAUCAAUUUUGUAACUCGUCUCUACACUUUUUCUAGUGCCAUGAUAUCUUUGUUUAGAACAGGUGCACAAAAUUGCACAGCAUAUUCAAGGUGUGGUCUUACCAGCGAUUUAUAAAGAGGCAAAAUUAUAUUUUCAUCCCGAGAAUUUAUGCCCCUAUGAUGAUUCACAAUGCACUGGAACUGAAUGGGUUGUAAGUCCUUUUUUAAUAUUGUUGAUAUGCUCCAUAAUUCUAAUUUUUAAAGGACUUUUUGUAUGACCUAUAUACUGCUUACUGCACAGACACUGAAGUAGAUAAGCCACAGAGUCCGUGCGGCAACCAAUCCUGGUGUGAAUGGAGAACUCCUCUCCCGUAGUAGGUAGAAGCACCCCUCAUGUAUGUAGUUAAACACACCUUACAACUUCGACAUCCUUCAAAUCCCUUCUGUGUUAUAGUCAUUUGAUCUGAUUUUUUUGCUCUAAUAUAGCUGGGUGCUUACAUAGUUUUAAAAUUCUGAUUUUUUUUCUAUGUCAUAAGUGGUUGUCGAGGUAACAUAUUCCCCAAUAUAGGGUCAUUCAAAAGUAUAGACCAAUAUUUUCCUAUGGUUCUUUUAAUUUCCCUAUGGUGAGUGAGUGUUAUACUUGGUAUUAAAGGCACAUUUAAAAGGUUUGCCCUCUUUUUUUCCGAUUAGUAUUAAUAAGAAGUUGGCCUCUAUCUGUGUUAGACAUGACUCUAAUUUCUUUUUCUAUACUGUUUUUCUUAUAUCCACGUUGUAUCAGUUUCUGUUUGAUAAGAUUUGCCUUAUUUUUAAAAUCUUCCGUUUUGGAACAAUUGCGUCUAACUCUAGUUAGUUGGCUUUUUGCUAUGCCCCUCAACCAUGGUUGGUGAUGGCAGCUGGUUCUAUGGAUAUAGCUAUUACCUUCUGUGGGUUUAAAAUAACAUUUUGUUUUUAUGUCAUAUCCUUCAUAAAAAAGGGUAAUAUAUAGAAAAUUAAUAUACUCUUUAUUCCACAUUGGGGUAAAUUUCGGUUAAAAUGAUUCAUAUUUAGAUAUUGCACAAAUUCUCCAAAGGAUGAUUCGUUCCCCUUCCAAAUAAUGAAAACAUCAUCUAUAUAUCGCCACCAGAGCACCAGUGAGGCCCUCCAGUCAUGACCAUUUGCUUGCCCAGGGUCCAAUCAAAGAAAGCCCUGAGACACUCUAGAGCCCUAAAACACUUUAGUUUGCUGAAAUGCUAUUUUUUACUUUGCAAAAAGUGCAGAUUUCAAAUUUGAAAUUGACACUUUUAGAAAUUAACCUGGUUACACCCCUUGGCUUUCAAGCAGACAACAGGUUAUGUUAAACAAACAAAAUUACAAAGGCAGGCACACUAUACAAGUUAAACCACAAAAUAUAUUUGAAAAAACAAGUCAUGUAUCCCCAUUGGACCAUUAAAAAUUGUGCAUUCAAUUCAGAAUGGGGAGUACAACUAGUAAAAAUAAAUCAACUUUAUUAUAUUGUGGCGGACCUGGCAUCAGUCCCUGGGGUUGGCCGAACCCAUAUUGAGUUCUUGCAAACAGAUCAGUUCGCAAGAACCUGUGUGGCGGACCUGGCAUCAGUCCCUGGGAUUGCCCGAACCCAUAUUGAGUUCCUGCAAACAGAUCUGUGACACCUGUUUGGGAACUGAACAGAACUUGUGUGGUCCCCCCCAUUUAUUGACUAAGAACACCGACCACCCCUGGCUGUUAACCGCAGUUAAGGAGUAACUUAAGUGCUUUCCCUGGGUGGCCACCGUUCGUAUACCCGAACGCACUUGUUUCAGGGCACAGAGGCCAUUUUGUUUCCCGAACACAGGCAGCGCUACUUGGUCGUCUAGUGCGUGGAACUAAUUUUUGUGAACCCCAGUCAAGACGGUACUGCUGCCUGUAUACUUUCCCGACCAACUACAUGAACCACAUUCAGGAUCUACCGACUGGAGGGAGCAUUUGCUACCUAAGAGCCAGGGGGAGUGUUCAUCAGUGUUUUUACAGGAACUACCGAACAAAGACUGGAUUCUCUGGAACUCUUUUGGGGCAUCACCUCUUGGCCGGCCGGUGAAAUCUUCUCCCGAAUAGCGAUCCCGUUCCAUCAAACCAAUCUGAGUGCUUUUUGGAUAUGUUGCGUGCUCAGAUUUAGGCUGUUCGGAGAUAUAAGAAUUGUGGGUUUCCUGUAAUGUUUUACUAUGUUUUUGGAAUGUUUUAUAAUAUUUUAUGUAUUUCAUGUAACUGAGAGAUAAUUGAGUUAUCUAAAUUCCCAGCUCACUUAUCUCUCAGGCCCAGAGCCUCUUGGGAAAAUUCCUUGUAAACGUGCUCUGGAGACUCCAUGCUAUGGAGUGCAUAAAAAGCUGUGUGUGGGCUAAUAAAAAUCAGUUCACUUCCAGAACUGUGUGUCGUCCAGUUACUGGGGGAAUGGGCUAUAUUCAGUGACCAGCCCUUCCCUUCUAGCUCCAAAGGAUUACAGCAGAGAUAUUCAUUCUCAGCAUUGCAUAUCAGCUACAUAUAUAAACCAAAAUUACAUGGUAGUGGUACCCGUAAACAACAUCAUAAACAAAAAUGACAAUUUAGUGUUAUCUGUACAUCACAGAAAGAACAUGUACAUAAAUAAAAUAUAUCAGUAGAAGGAUUACAAAGUAAAACAAAAAAAAUACGAUAUAACAAAUGGGAAACUACAAAAUAUAUACCAUGAAUAAACAGAAAACCAAAAGAGUUGUGAGAAAAGGUUAAUAUCCAAGGAAAUAACCCCAAUGUUUCAGCGGAACCACUUUGUGGUUUGGUUAACUCAGUUGAGCUAAACUCAAGUGGCAGCAAUUGACCAGAGCACCUGCUUUGCAAACAGUUCUAAUUGAGCUGCCUUGGAAACUGUGUGAUUGGACAGUCACAGAAAGUAUGGGUGGGUGUGACGGACCGCCUGGCACCCCAACCGCGUACCUCCGUCAAUUGCUGCUUACUAGUAAUCCUUGAGUACCAUAAGCACCACACCUGACACCAUAACCACCAUAGACCCCACAAACCGCCGCAGUUUGGUUGGGGUCUCACUGUCCUCCACCCACCGAGGGCCCAAGACCAGGAUCAGGAAUUUCCUGGAAGUCUGAUUUUUGACCGACCGUGCACAUGGUCCUAUGCCCAAACCAGGGAAUCAGGGCUAAUGGUCGGUCUCUCUGCCUGGAGUACAAAAGUUCAUACAGAGCGUGAACAAAGCUUUUUCAAGUGCAUUGGGCAAGGUAUAUUGCAGGGCCCAUAGUCCUGAGGCAAGAGGCUGGCUAGUAGGCCCCUCCAAGAACCCAUGACGAGGUUUCAGUUCGUCACAACGGGGUUAGAAGUGGAAGACUUGUAAUAGUUGCAGACAUGAGAUCUGCAUAUUUUACAAGCGGUAUAUAGAUAUAACCAAUAUGGAAAAUGCAUAAUUAAAUGCAUGCACGCAUGGCCGUCUAUAAUAUGAAUAGGACCCUGAGCAAAGCAUUUUCUUGGGCCCCCUGGGCUCUGCCCCUCCCCCCCAAUUACUACCAACCCCCAAUCACACUCUUCACUCCAAUGCCGUGGGGGAACUAAAGUUGAGAGAUUCAAAACAUAUUUACACAGCCAUAUACACUGACAAAUAUAUACUGGCAGUCAAAUUGACACACAUUCAGAUAUACUGACACACAUACACACGCACACACACACAGACAUACUGACACACACAGACACAUACACUGACAGAUAUACUGACACACACACAUACAUAUACUAACAGAAAUACUGAAACACACACGGACACAUACACUGACAGACGUAUUGACACACACACUGACACACACACACAGACAUGCUGACAGACACACUGACACACACACAGACUGACAUACUGACACACACACAGGCAUACUAGCAUACACAGAUACACUGACACACACACACACACAGGCAUACUGACAUACACAGACACACAUAGGCAUACUGACACACACAGACAUACUGACACAUACACACAGACAUACUGACAUACACAGACACACUGACACACACACACAGGCAUAUUGACAUACACAAACACACACAGACAUACUGACACACACACUACAUUUAGCCACUCUCCAGGUUCUUACCUUUUCUGGAGGGUGGUUUCCCUGGGGUCCAGUGGCAGGCUGUGGCAGUUGGGAGUUAUCUUCUAGAACUCCCCUCCUCCCUGCCUUCCUCCUACCACGUGGCUCUGAUCUCUGGUGGGAGGAAGUGACAUGCGGCACUCACUUCCUCCCAGCCGGCUGCCGAACAGGGGUCCGAUCGCGCUGUUUAAGCGUCACAGCGCCCGACCGAGCACCUGCUGACACAUGCUCAAGGGGCCUCCUUUGUGUGCGGGCCGGUGGGCUCUGUGCAGCUGCACCUCUGGGUCCAUGGGGGCUGCGCAAAUCGCGGGGCCCGUGGGGCAGCUGCUUUGGGGCCCCCCAGGAGCAACUGCCCCGUAUUAAAGACAGCCCUGCAUGCACAUUUUCAUUUGGGGUAUAUCUACUAAAAAAGGUGAUUUUUAUUUAUUUUGUAUUUGGCAAGUGGAGUGUUCCUUUUAGGCAAGCUCUACUGCAGUUACUGGGCAUGCAUGAGAUCCAAUUCGCAUAGGGGAUUAUAAGUAAGGGCAGAAGAAGGCAGUGAUCAAACGUCAGGCAGUGAAUAUAGAAUGCAGUGAUCAAACGACUGAUAGGUUACUGAAGAUGGCACAGCAAAACCAUAGAUAAAGAGCUUUAACAAGGUAACAUGGGGGAUCAGUGACUAAAAAUUGUGGGGACAAUGAGUAGAAAGAGUCAAUGGUGGACAAUAAAAUGUUUUUUAAAAAAUAAGAAAAACCCACACAUGCCCAUAACAGAGGUGCUUUAGUACCAGCAGUGUUGUCGAACAUAAAAAGUGUAAUACUCAUCUUCUUUCCUUGAUGAUUGCCUCCUAAAAUUAUUGUUGCGAUUACAAUCAUUUGUGAGGGUUGUGACAGCAGUAACAGAUGCACUGUGCCGAUCAUUGCAGUCCAAAUAUGGAUACAAUUUAUAUUUAAAGACUAAUGAUUGAAUAAAAAAAAUAUUUUAGGGUAUGAAACCUGCGUGGUUGAAAGAAAAAACUGCAAAUGCUUGUUUUGAAUAUAGUCUGUCUAUGAAUAUAGAUUUUUUUUGUUACACUGUCUGUAUUACUGAUGGUUUAAUAUUGUUUCCCCAAUAAUCUGCAAUUUGAAAACGUACUCACCCUGCAGAAGUAUUUCUGUAAUUGUAACUAACACACAUUUUUUUUAACUGUAGCAUUCUUUAACUAUUUACCUCCCUUGACCGCACUGGUCCAUUUAAUUGCUUCUAACUUGUUUUUUCUUUUGCAGACACACCAAAACAAUCAUUGGACUGCUGCGUAUGUUUGCAGAGGGUUAAUGCACACGGAAUUAUUUAAUUAACCCUUGAUGACUAAUGACUUGCCAGAACUGUCAUUAUACAAAUAGAUUUGCCUAACGCUUUGUCACAAAGGAAUUCUUUCUUAAACGCCCUAAUAAAUUCUCAUUGUCAACUCUACUGUUGUCUGUUGAGUGACUUUUCCAAAUU